Molecule: ribosomal RNA, 1289 nt
Filed under: metagenome
Description: SSU rRNA
Rfam family: Eukaryotic small subunit ribosomal RNA
Source: RNAcentral
UUUGAGGCUCCGUAAUUGGAAUGAGUACACUUUAAACCCUUUAACGAGGAUCUAUUGGAGGGCAAGUCUGGUGCCAGCAGCCGCGGUAAUUCCAGCUCCAAUAGCGUAUACUAAAGUUGUUGCGAUUAAAAAGCUCGUAGUUGGAUCUCAGGCAUGGGCGCACGGUCCGCCUCGCGGCGGUCACUGUGUGUAUGUUUCCCAUCCUACGCUUCCCGGUUGUUAGCCCAUGGUGCUCUUCAUUGAGCGUUUUGGGUGGCCGGAACGUUUACUUUGAAGAAAUUAGAGUGUUCAAAGCAGGCACGUCGCCUGAAUAAUGGUGCAUGGAAUAAUGGAAUAGGACCUCGGUUCUAUUUUGCUGGUUUUCGGAACACGAGGUAAUGAUUAAGAGGGACAGACGGGGGCAUCCGUAUUGCGGUGUUAGAGGUGAAAUUCUUGGAUCAUCGCAAGACGAACUACUGCGAAAGCAUUUGCCAAGAAUGUCUUCAUUAGUCAAGAACGAAAGUCAGAGGUUCGAAGACGAUCAGAUACCGUCGUAGUUCUGACCAUAAACGAUGCCAACUAGCGAUCCGCUGGUGUUGCUUCAUCGACUCUGCGGGCAGCUUCCGGGAAACCAAAGUCUAUGGGUUCCGGGGGAAGUAUGGUUGCAAAGCUGAAACUUAAAGGAAUUGACGGAAGGGCACCACCAGGAGUGGAGCCUGCGGCUUAAUUUGACCCAACACGGGGAAACUCACCCGGUCCGGACACUGUAAGGAUUGACAGAUUGAUAGCUCUUUCUUGAUUCGGUGGGUGGUGGUGCAUGGCCGUUCUUAGUUGGUGGAGCGAUUUGUCUGGUUAAUUCCGAUAACGAACGAGACUCUAGCCUACUAAAUAGUUCGCCGAUCCUUUAUGCGUCGGCGUCAACUUCUUAGAGGGACAAGUGGCGUUUAGCCACACGAGAUUGAGCAAUAACAGGUCUGUGAUGCCCUUAGAUGUCCGGGGCCGCACGCGCGCUACACUGAAGGAAUCAGCGUGGCUAUCUCCCUGGUCCGAGAGGAUUGGGAAACCCGUUGAAUCUCCUUCGUGAUAGGGAUUGGGGCUUGAAAUUCUUCCCCAUGAACGAGGAAUUCCCAGUAAGCGCGAGUCAUCAGCUCGCGUUGAUUACGUCCCUGCCCUUUGUACACACCGCCCGUCGCUACUACCGAUUGAACGGUUUAGUGAGGGCCUCGGAUUGGUCUCGGCCCGCCCUUCACCGGGCGGCGCCGUUGGUCGAGAAGACGCUCGAACUUGAUCGUUUAGAGGAAGUAAAAGUC